GGUGUGUUAAAAUGACUAAUUUAAACAAGGGUUUAAGAGGUGUUGAAAGUUUUGAUUUCAGACUUCAACAUCCAUUUUUAUGUGUAAUAAGUGGGCCAUCUAAUUCUGGAAAAACAUAUUUUGUAAAAAUAUUGAUUGUAAAUGCUGAUAAUGUGUUUAGUAAUAAGAUUGAGAAUAUUCUAUAUAUAUAUACGCUUGUUGGCAACCUCUUUAUGAUGAACUGUUGAAGAUAAGAGACAUUACAUUUAUUGAAGGGAUCCCUAACGCUUUAGAUGACGACGUUCUAUUACCUGUAACCAAAAACAAUUUAUUAAUUAUUGAUGAUGUGAUGAAGGAUGCAAGUAGCAAUGCAGAAGUUGAAAAAGUAUUCACACAAUAUGUUCAUCACCGUAACCUUAGUGCCAUUUACCUGGUUCAGAACCUAUUUUUUCAGGGUAAAGCCAGUAGAACAAUUAGCCUAAACACCUUACAGGCCAAAAUAGAAAAAAAUAGUACUUUUUUUUUUUUUAACUGAUUUUGUUUAUCAAUAUACAUGCAUAAAUACUUUUUUUUUUUUUUUUUACUGAUUUUGUUUAUCAAUAUACAUGCAUACAUACUUUUUUUUUUUUUUUUUUAACUGAUUUAAGUGGUACAGGCCAAAAUAGAAAAAAAUUGUACUUUUUUUUUUUUUAACUGAUUUUUUUUAUCAAUAUACAUGCAUAAAUACUUUUUUUUUUUUUCUUUUUUACUGAUUUUGUUUAUCAAUAUACAUGCAUGAAUACUUUUUUUUUUUUUUUUUUUUUUUAACUGAUUUAAGUGUUACAGGCCAAAAGAGAAAAAAUAGUACUUUUUUUUUUUAACUGAUUUUGUUUAUCAAUAUACAUGCAUGAAUACUUUUUUUUUUUUACUGAUUUUGUUUAUCAAUAUACAUGCAUAAAUACUUUUUUUUUUUUUUUUUUAACUGAUUUAAGUGGUACAGGCCAAAAGAGAAAAAAAUAGUACUUUUUUUUUUUUAACUGAUUUUGUUUAUCAAUAUACAUGCAUAAAUACUUUUUUUUUUAACUGAUUUGUCCUCGGCGACUCUAACAAAGGAAAUCUCACCCGCGAACUCCCCAAAUACAGACAAUAUAUUAAAUGCCCGACCAGAGAGGAGAACAUUCUGGAUCACUGCUACACCACAGUUAGCAGUGCCUAUCAUGCCGUCCCCCGGGCUGCACUGGGACACUCUGACCACGUCAUGGUCCAUUUGAUCCCUGCAUACAGGCAGAAAUUAAAACUCUGCAAACCUGUUGUGAGGACAUCUAAGCAGUGGACCAGUGAAGCUGUAGAGGAUCUUCAGGCGUGCUUGGACUGUACUGAUUGGGAUGUCUUCAAGACCGCUACCAACAGUCUGGAUGAGUACACAGAAGCUGUGACAUCAUAUAUCAGCUUCUGUGAGGACAGCUGUUUACCAUCACGCACCAGGGUGAGUUAUAACAACGACAAACCCUGGUUCACAGCUAAACUCAGAAAGUUAA
This is a long non-coding RNA of Clupea harengus (Atlantic herring), 1496 nucleotides long. NCBI's taxonomy places the organism in Eukaryota, Metazoa, Chordata, Actinopteri, Clupeiformes, Clupeidae. The record is from Ensembl.